AUGGUUAAGCUAAGAAGAGCGUAGGGAGAAUGCCUUGGCAUUAGGAGCCGAUGAAGGACGUGAUAAGCUGCGAUAAGCUGCGGGGAUCAGCAAGUAUGAAUUGAUCCGCAGAUUUCCGAAUGGAGCAAUCCGUAUGUGUAUGCACAUACAUCAUAUACUGAAUCAAAUAGGUAUAUGAGGGGAACCGCCUGAACUGAAACAUCUAAGUAGGGCGAGGAAGAGAAAUCAACCGAGAUUCUGUGAGUAGUGGCGAGCGAAAGCGGAAGAGGCUAAACCAUAGGUAGCAAUACUUAUGGGGUUUCGGACAGCAUUUAGUAUUGAUAAUUUCUAGUUGAAACGUGUGGGAAAACGUACCGAAGAGUGUGAGAGUCACGUAAGCGAAAGAGAGAAUCAGCGAGCUGUAUCCAAAGUACCGCGGGACACGUGAAACCCCGUGGGAAGAUGGGGGGACCAUCCUCCAAGCCUAAAUACUACCUAAUGACCGAUAGCGAAUAGUACUGUGAAGGAACGGUGAAAAGAACCCCGGGAGGGGAGUGAAAAAGAACCUGAAACCCUAUGCUUACAAGCACCGAGAGCACGUCAAAGUGUGAUCGGGUACCUUUUGUAGAAUGGUCCGGCGAGUUAUUGUAUGCGGCAAGGUUAAGUGCUUAAGGCACGGAGCCGAAGCGAGAGCAAGUCUGAAUAGGGCGAAAGAGUCGUAUGCAAUAGACCCGAAACCGAGUGACCUAUCCAUGUCCAGGCUGAAGUGGAGGUAAAACUCCAUGGAGGGCCGAACACACGUCCGUUGAAAAGGCCGGUGAUGAGGUGUGGAUAGCGGAGAAAUUCCAAUCGAACUCGGAUAUAGCUGGUUCUCUCCGAAAUAGCUUUAGGGCUAGCCUCGUGAAAGAUUACUGGAGGUAAAGCACUGAAUGGGCUAGGGGUCGAAAGAUUACUGAACCCUAUCAAACUAAGAAUGCCAGAUAAUUGAUUCACGGGAGUCAGACAAUGUGAGAUAAGUCUCAUUGUCAAAAGGGAAACAGCCCAGACCCACAGCUAAGGUCCCUAAACAUUGUUAAGUGGAAAAGGAUGUGGGGUUGCAUAAACAACCAGGAUGUUGGCUUAGAAGCAGCCACUCAUUAAAAGAGUGCGUAAUAGCUCACUGGUCGAGUGACCCUGCGCCGAAAAUUCAACGGGGCUAAACAAUGUACCGAAGCUUGGGAUUCUAAAGUAAUUUAGAGUGGUAGGAGAGCGUCGAAUAAGGGGUGAAGUCAGAGCGGAAGCGCUGGUGGACUUUAUUCGAGUGAGAAUGCCGGAAUGAGUAGCGAGAAUUAUGUGAGAAUCAUAAUGGCCGAAAAUCUAAGGUUUCCUGAGGAAGGUUCGUCCGCUCAGGGUAAGCCGGGGGCUAAGGCGAGGCGAAGACGCGUAGCCGAUGCACAUACGGUUGAAAUUCCGUAGCCACCGAAAGAUUUAAGUACAGGGACGCUUUAGAAGUGAUGUUGCCGGGCGAUGGUUGACCCGGUCGUAAGGGAUCGAAAAUGAGUAGAGAAGUCAUCAUGGAAAGAGACAAGAAAAGCUGUAUGAAUAUCUUAGGUGCCCGUACCGCAAACCGACACAGGUAGAUAGGAAGAAGAUUCUAAGGCCAACGGGAGAAGGGUUGUUAAGGAACUCGGCAAGUUGACCCCGUAACUUAGGGAUAAGGGGUGCUCAAGUGAUUGAGCCGCAGAGAAUAGGCCCAGGCGACUGUUUAGCAAAAACACAGGUCUCUGCUAAAUCGAAAGAUGACGUAUAGGGGCUGACACCUGCCCGGUGCCGGAAGGUUAAGAGGAGAUGUGAGAGCAUUGAAUUGAAGCCCCGGUAAACGGCGGCCGUAACUAUAACGGUCCUAAGGUAGCGAAAUUCCUUGUCAGGUAAGUUCUGACCCGCACGAAAGGUGUAACGAUCUGGGCACUGUCUCAACAACCCGCCCGGCGAAAUUGUAGUACCGGUGAAGAUGCCGGUUACCCGCGACUAGACGGAAAGACCC
This 2002-nucleotide ribosomal RNA is filed under the name Ruminococcus sp. KGMB03662. RNAcentral describes it as "partial 23S ribosomal RNA". It matches the Rfam family "Bacterial large subunit ribosomal RNA", at positions 1 to 2091 of the family's 2925-position model. Lineage: Bacteria; Bacillati; Bacillota; Clostridia; Eubacteriales; Oscillospiraceae. The record is from RNAcentral.